This 253-nucleotide ribosomal RNA is filed under the name uncultured bacterium. Its description in RNAcentral is "partial 16S ribosomal RNA". It matches the Rfam family "Bacterial small subunit ribosomal RNA", at positions 524 to 776 of the family's 1533-position model. The record is from RNAcentral.
UACGUAGGGGGCAAGCGUUGUCCGGAUUUAUUGGGCGUAAAGAGCGUGUAGGCGGCUAGGUAGGUCCGUUGUGAAAACUCGAGGCUCAACCUCGAGACGUCGAUGGAAACCAUCUAGCUAGAGUCCGGAAGAGGAGAGUGGAAUUCCUGGUGUAGCGGCGAAAUGCGCAGAUAUCAGGAAGAACACCCGUGGCGAAGGCGGCUCUCUGGUACGUGACUGACGCUGAGACGCGAAAGCGUGGGGAGCGAACAGG